ACCCUCACUUGUGUAGUUUUGAUGUUUAUUUGUUAGAUUUCCAUGUGUUAUGAGUGACAUCUUUGUUUGCAGUUGGGACCUGUCAAAGACCGGAUCCAGAUACCAUAUCUGACGAAGAUCUUGAAAUUGACAUAGUUAAGGCAUGGUCAGAUUUAGACAAAUCCGUUGUAGCAGAAGGCCUCAUAUCAGGAACAACUGUGGCUAACCCAUACUCCACAUCCACUCAUCACUCAACUUUGGCACCCUGGAUGGGGCACCACACUCGAGUGGGAAAUAUUCUUCCCAAAACAGAAGUGAAAAAGGUCGAUUGCAGAUUUGUUAAACAGACUCCAGGAACUGUUAAACUUUAAGGACAUAUACCCAAAGCUUUUUCUAAAGCUUCAAAAAGCUGGUGGUGGUGUUCUUCACUUCUCUUGUAUGCAUGGUGUUGUGUACUAUGUUAACAUACUGUUUUGGAUGGAGUCUGCAAGAGAUCACGGCGAUGGGCUGUUGAGCUUCAAGUAUCUGCCUACCUGCUACAUUUCUGAUAUAGCAGGACAGGUUGCUCGCCACACCAACAACCGGACCAAACAGCGUUUUUUCCAACCACAUGAUCGAAGACUUUGUUGUCCAACACCAGAAAAUGUAGAGAAAGCGGCCCAGAAGGAGUUAAACAUUCAGUUGGAGUGGGUAAAUAAGCUGAGGUCUCCAUUGCCACAGCAUACAAGCAACAGUGUUGAUCGAAUGACAGCACAACAUCCAAUCACAGGGACAUGUGAAAGAUACUCUCUGUACGAUCGAUUUCACCAAAAAAAUCAGAAAAGACCAGAAGAGAAGCUGAGAGGUCUCAACAUUUGCCCUGACCUUAGAAAAGAGGUCAUCUCUGCUGUUGCAGAACAGUUCAAUCGAGAGCUUGCUUCUGUUAGAUACUCGCUGUGCCAAAUGACAGAAACCCAUUUUAAACAGACUUUGAGGGUCUUGAUUCAUCUGCAUAAUGACAAGAUAAACAGCCACUUUAAAAAAGAAAUGGAGGAGAUGUGCAAUGCCCAGCUGUCCGUUGGACUUCAUGGGA
Fundulus heteroclitus (mummichog) is the source of this 1051-nucleotide long non-coding RNA. RefSeq lists it as uncharacterized. The record is from RefSeq and is a predicted model, not a curated record. The transcript is spliced from 3 exons. Lineage: Eukaryota; Metazoa; Chordata; Actinopteri; Cyprinodontiformes; Fundulidae.